CUCCACCGGAAAAAGANGAGUGGCGAACGGGUGAGUAACACGUGGGUAACCUGCCCAUCAGAAGGGGAUACACUUGGAAACAGGUGCUAAUACCGUAUAACAAUCNAAACCGCAUGGUUUUGAUUUGAAAGGCGCUUUCGGGUGUCGCUGAUGGAUGGACCCGCGGUGCAUUAGCUAGUUGGUGAGGUAACGGCUCACCAAGGCCACGAUGCAUAGCCGACCUGAGAGGGUGAUCGGCCACAUUGGGACUGAGACACGGCAAACUCCUACGGGAGGCAGCAGUAGGGAAUCUUCGGCAAUGGACGAAAGUCUGACCGAGCAACGCCGCGUGAGUGAAGAAGGUUUUCG
This 348-nucleotide ribosomal RNA is filed under the name Enterococcus faecium. Its description in RNAcentral is "bacterial SSU rRNA". It matches the Rfam family "Bacterial small subunit ribosomal RNA", at positions 75 to 420 of the family's 1533-position model. Lineage: Bacteria; Bacillati; Bacillota; Bacilli; Lactobacillales; Enterococcaceae. The record is from RNAcentral.